Mauremys mutica (yellowpond turtle) is the source of this 141-nucleotide long non-coding RNA. RefSeq lists it as uncharacterized. NCBI's taxonomy places the organism in Eukaryota, Metazoa, Chordata, Testudines, Geoemydidae. The transcript has 2 exons. The record is from RefSeq and is a predicted model, not a curated record.
ACUGUUGUCAGGGAUAAUUUACUUUCAAGAUUUCAAACAAUAAAAUAUAUAUGUAGGUAUGUUACCCCGGAUGACCAAUAACUGACACUUCAAACUCUAUCAUCUAUUUUUAAACAUUUUCUAAUAAACUUUUAAAUUUGU